Molecule: ribosomal RNA, 253 nt
Filed under: uncultured bacterium
Lineage: Bacteria
Description: partial 16S ribosomal RNA
Rfam family: Bacterial small subunit ribosomal RNA
Source: RNAcentral
UACGGAGGGGGCUAGCGUUGUUCGGAAUUACGGGGCGUAAAGCGCGCGUAGGCGGACCUGCAAGUCGGGGGUGAAAGCCCGAGGCUCAACCUCGGAACUGCCUUCGAUACUGCGGGUCUAGAGGCCGAGAGAGGUGAGUGGAAUUCCCAGUGUAGAGGUGAAAUUCGUAGAUAUUGGGAAGAACACCAGUGGCGAAGGCGGCUCACUGGCUCGGUUCUGACGCUGAGGCGCGAAAGCGUGGGGGGCAAACAGG